GAUCAUGGCUCAGGAUGAACGCUAGCUACAGGCUUAACACAUGCAAGUCGAGGGGAAACGACAUCGAAAGCUUGCUUUUGAUGGGCGUCGACCGGCGCACGGGUGAGUAACGCGUAUCCAACCUUCCCGCAACUGGGGGAUAACCUUGCGAAAGUAAGACUAAUACCCCAAUGACGUCCAUAGAAGACAUCUGAAAUGGAUUAAAGAUUUAUCGGUGAUGGAUGGGGAUGCGUCUGAUUAGCUUGUUGGCGGGGUAACGGCCCACCGAGCCGACGAUCGGUAGGGGUUCUGAGAGGAAGGUCCCCCACAUUGGAACUGAGACACGGUCCAAACUCCUACGGGAGGCAGCAGUGAGGAAUAUUGGUCAAUGGACGUAAGUCUGAACCAGCCAAGUAGCGUGCAGGAUGACGGCCCUAUGGGUUGUAAACUGCUUUUAUGCGGGGAUAAAGUGUGGGACGUGUCCCAUAUUGCAGGUACUGCAUGAAUAAGGACCGGCUAAUUCCGUG
This 506-nucleotide ribosomal RNA is filed under the name uncultured bacterium. RNAcentral's name for it is "bacterial SSU rRNA". It matches the Rfam family "Bacterial small subunit ribosomal RNA", at positions 15 to 507 of the family's 1533-position model. The record is from RNAcentral.